RNAcentral lists this ribosomal RNA (253 nucleotides) under uncultured bacterium. RNAcentral describes it as "partial 16S ribosomal RNA". It matches the Rfam family "Bacterial small subunit ribosomal RNA", at positions 524 to 776 of the family's 1533-position model. The record is from RNAcentral.
GACGUAGGGCGCGAGCGUUGUCCGGAUUUAUUGGGCGUAAAGAGCUCGUAGGCGGCUUGUUGCGUCGGCUGUGAAAACCCGCGGCUUAACCGCGGGCCUGCAGCCGAUACGGGCAGGCUAGAGUUCGGUAGGGGAGACUGGAAUUCCUGGUGUAGCGGUGAAAUGCGCAGAUAUCAGGAAGAACACCUAUGGCGAAGGCAGCACUCUGGGACGGUACUGACGCUGAGACGCGAAAGCGUGGGGAGCGAACAGG